RNAcentral lists this ribosomal RNA (626 nucleotides) under uncultured archaeon. RNAcentral describes it as "bacterial SSU rRNA". It matches the Rfam family "Archaeal small subunit ribosomal RNA", at positions 37 to 666 of the family's 1478-position model. The record is from RNAcentral.
UGUUCGAUUAGCCAUGCGAGUUAAUGUUCUUCGUGAACAUAGCAGACUGCUCAGUAACACGUGGAUAACCUGCCCUUAGGACUGGCAUAACCCCGGGAAACUGGGGAUAAGUCCGGAUAGAUCAUAAAUGCUGGAAUGCUUUAUGAUUGAAAGGUUUCGACCGCCUUAGGAUGGAUCUGCGGCCUAUCAGGUUGUAGUGGGUGUAAUGUACCUACUAGCCUACGACGGGUACGGGUUGCGGAAGCAAGAGCCCGGAGAUGGAUUCUGAGACAUGAAUCCAGGCCCUACGGGGCGCAGCAGGCGCGAAAACUUUACAAUGCGGGAAACCGUGAUAAGGGAACACUGAGUGCUAGCAUUUAUGUUAGCUGUCCACAUGUGUAAAUAGCAUGUGAUAGCAAGGGCUGGGCAAGACCGGUGCCAGCCGCCGCGGUAACACCGGCAGCCCGAGUGGUGAUCACUAUUAUUGGGUCUAAAGGGUCCGUAGCCGGUUUAAUCAGUCUUCUGGGAAAUCUAAUCGCUUAACUAUUAGGCUUCCAGGGGAUACUGUUAGACUUGGGACCGGGAGAGGUAAGAGGUACUGCAGGGGUAGGAGUGAAAUCUUGUAAUCCCUGUGAGACCACCAGUGG